CAGUAGCCGCGGUAAAACGUAGGGUGCAAGCGUUAAUCGGAAUUACUGGGCGUAAAGCGUGCGCAGGCGGUUCUAUAAGACAGAUGUGAAAUCCCCGGGCUCAACCUGGGAACUGCACUCGUGACUGUAGAGCUGGAGUACGGCAGAGGGGGAUGGAAUUCCGCGUGUAGCAGUGAAAUGCGUAGGUAUGCGGAGGAACACCGAUGGCGAAGGCAAUCCCCUGGGCCUGUACUGACGCUCAUGCACGAAAGCGUGGGGAGCAAACAGGAUUAGAUACCCCCGUAGUCCCUGUCUCUUAUAC
This 301-nucleotide ribosomal RNA is filed under the name uncultured bacterium. RNAcentral's name for it is "partial 16S ribosomal RNA". It matches the Rfam family "Bacterial small subunit ribosomal RNA", at positions 509 to 807 of the family's 1533-position model. The record is from RNAcentral.